GAAGAAAGAUUGAAACUUACAUCCAAUUCCUUUUGAACAUAACGUGGUCGUUUCUUUGGCCUCUUCCGAGGGCGACGCCCAACCAUAACCAUGAAAUCCUCCUCGAUCUCUUGCAUCGAUAGUCUCACCGAGAAUUCCGGCCGUUCCCUUUUCUUCUUACCAUAACUCUUGAA
Molecule: long non-coding RNA, 173 nt
Organism: Hibiscus syriacus
Lineage: Eukaryota; Viridiplantae; Streptophyta; Magnoliopsida; Malvales; Malvaceae
Exons: 3
Source: RefSeq, a predicted model, not a curated record